RNAcentral lists this ribosomal RNA (439 nucleotides) under uncultured bacterium. RNAcentral's name for it is "bacterial SSU rRNA". It matches the Rfam family "Bacterial small subunit ribosomal RNA", at positions 340 to 774 of the family's 1533-position model. The record is from RNAcentral.
UACGGGAGGCAGCAGGGGGAAUAUUGCACAAUGGGCGCAAGCCUGAUGCAGCCAUGCCGCGUGUAUGAAGAAGGCCUUCGGGUUGUAAAGUACUUUCAGUCGUGAGGAAGGUGUUAAGGUUAAUAACCUUAGCAAUUGACGUUAGCGACAGAAGAAGCACCGGCUAACUCCGUGCCAGCAGCCGCGGUAAUACGGAGGGUGCGAGCGUUAAUCGGAAUUACUGGGCGUAAAGGGCACGCAGGCGGUUAAUUAAGUUGGAUGUGAAAUCCCCGGGCUUAACCUGGGAAUGGCAUUCAAGACUGGUUAGCUAGAGUCUUGUAGAGGGGGUAGAAUUCCAUGUGUAGCGGUGAAAUGCGUAGAGAUGUGGAGGAAUACCGGUGGCGAAGGCGGCCCCUGGACAAAGACUGACGCUCAUGUGCGAAAGCGUGGGGAGCAAACG